RNAcentral lists this ribosomal RNA (499 nucleotides) under uncultured bacterium. RNAcentral's name for it is "bacterial SSU rRNA". It matches the Rfam family "Bacterial small subunit ribosomal RNA", at positions 28 to 513 of the family's 1533-position model. The record is from RNAcentral.
GAUGAACGCUAGCUACAGGCUUAACACAUGCAAGUCGAGGGGAAACGAUAUUGGAAGCUUGCUUCCGAUAGGCGUCGACCGGCGCACGGGUGAGUAACGCGUAUCCAACCUGCCCAUCACUUGGGGAUAACCUUGCGAAAGUAAGACUAAUACCCAAUGACGUCUCUAGAAGACAUCUGAAGGAGAUUAAAGAUUUAUCGGUGAUGGAUGGGGAUGCGUCUGAUUAGCUUGUUGGCGGGGUAACGGCCCACCAAGGCGACGAUCAGUAGGGGUUCUGAGAGGAAGGUCCCCCCACAUUGGAACUGAGACACGGUCCAAACUCCUACGGGAGGCAGCAGUGAGGAAUAUUGGUCAAUGGACGAGAGUCUGAACCAGCCAAGUAGCGUGCAGGAUGACGGCCCUAUGGGUUGUAAACUGCUUUUAUAAGGGAAUAAAGUGAGUCUCGUGAGGCUUUUUGCAUGUACCUUAUGAAUAAGGACCGGCUAAUUCCGUGCCAGCA